RNA transcript from Cynoglossus semilaevis (tongue sole), 5090 nucleotides. It is a transcript of the gene named homeobox D9a, with no coding region annotated. The record is from RefSeq and is a predicted model, not a curated record. NCBI's taxonomy places the organism in Eukaryota, Metazoa, Chordata, Actinopteri, Pleuronectiformes, Cynoglossidae. The transcript has 4 exons.
GCACGGAGGGCUAUCAGCAAGAUAUUAGGAGGGUUUUCUAACAUGGAGAUGUAAAGGAUUCUGUCUCUGUGUGUGUGUGUGUGUGUGAGGAGGGGGGGUCUUAUUCUUUUUUUGCACUGUUGCAACAUCCUGCAGCCACAGGCUGGUGUAAAACACAGCAGAGAGAAGAAGAAGAAGAAGAAAAAAAAAAUCAUUUGCAUUUUUCUGAGCGGUACUUUUCGCCCUACAGUCACAGCUUUAUUGUUUCUGAAGUGAAAAUCUGAAAUGAAGUCUGGCCAAGAAGAAAAAAAAGGAAAAGAAAACACGAGAGGAAGAGCUAUGGAGAGAGCGCAAGGGCAGGAUUGAUUUACUUGCUGUAUUGGUAAAUAUGACCACGUGAUCCAUGUAACCAAUCCCUGUAGAUGCAGGCCAGCAAAAAUACCAUGAUUGUUCAUAGAGGGAAGCUUGUCGUAACAGUGCAAGCCCUAUUAUAUGAGUAGGAAGAGAUCAAAAAUGUCUUCCAGUGGUGCGCUCACUAACGGCUAUGUGGACGCAGUCAUGGGCCCGGAGCCGGAGGAUGUGUACGGGGCUCGGUUUCUCCAGGCUCCACACACGGUGGCCCCCAGGCCUUCAGGUGCCGGGGACAACGUAGACUUCUCCUCCUGCAAUUUUGCACCAAAGUCCGCCGUUUUCCCCUCUUCCUGGUCCUCGGUUCACCCGCAGGGGAUUUACCAUCCGUACGUGCACCACCACCACCAGCACCACCACCACCAGUCCCAUCUGCCCGCCUCGGACGGCAGAUAUGUCGGCGUCCGCUCCUGGAUGGAGCCUCUCUCCAGCCACGUCUCCUUUGCAGGAUUCCACUCCAACAGUCGCUCCUACGGGGCCAAGCCCGAGCCUGUGCCGCCGAAAGCCGCCGUCGAGUGCGACACGUUGGAGGCAGAGACGCGGCCGCUGCCCGCGGAGGAGUUCGCCUGCGGUGGAGCGUCCGAGUGCGCGGAAAAGACGAACCAGGAGCAGAGUGGAAGUGAGCUUUCCAGCCACUGCAGCGACUCCAAAGAGGAGAAACAACAACAACUUGACCCAAACAACCCUGCUGCAAACUGGAUCCACGCACGCUCCACGAGGAAGAAACGCUGCCCCUACACUAAAUAUCAGACUCUGGAGCUGGAGAAGGAGUUCCUCUACAACAUGUAUCUGACCCGGGACCGACGCUACGAGGUGGCCCGGAUUCUCAGCCUAACCGAGAGACAGGUCAAGAUCUGGUUCCAGAACAGGAGGAUGAAAAUGAAGAAAAUGACCAGAGAGAGAAGCGGCGGUAAGGAGCUGCUGUGAGAACCCGGACUGUUGUCACUGCUGCUGCUGCUGUCGGUGCCAUUUCACUCCUUCACGACGUUGAAGCCAUGAUGUGAACAUUUGACUUUAACUUCCUUCACUGGAGCUUCAACAGUAGCCGUCUCUGAGGCGGAUUAAGUACUUAAAUAUUGACAAACUCUACAAGGCCAGUGCACAGGGACUGGUCUUGUGGUGACUGUGGCGCGCACACGUCAAGAUCCUUUUGGAUUUUUAUUUUUGUGCUUGUGGUUUUUUUUUUCAAUUUUCUUUUUUGUUUUUACGUGUUUACACCGUCUCGAGGUGGGAUGCUGGAGCAGUUUCUCCGCUUUGUAAGAAAAAGAAAAAAACACAAGUUGGCUUUAAAGCACUGCCUUUGUAGUUGUAAAUAUUUUUGGACGUGUGUGUGUAUACGUAAACAUAAAACACUUAAGCUAAAACACGUUGCUGUUUUGGACAAAACAUAACGCGCACACAUGAACAUGUACAGACGUUUGCAUCACAAGAUGAAGAUGAAAAACAUAACCCUCUGCUAACAUCUUUGAAACUCAACAAUUUGCAGUAUUUUUUCAACUUAAAAAAAAAGAGCCGCGCCUUUCGCUGCACACUGCUUCUGGUUUAUUUAUUGGCUGUUUUAUUGGGAAAUGCACAUCAAAUUUUAUUCUGCGAGGCCUUGUUUGCACACGCGCCGCUUGACUCCAGAAAACUGAAAACAGUCUUUAUCAAACUUUGAUCGAUUCCUCCAUGUGCAGACGACACAAUCAAGACUUUAGAUAAUUUUAGCAGAAAGUUGUUGUAAUCUCUAGGUUUGGAAUGGUACAAACAACAAGUCAUAAAGAGUUUACGACGGGCCGAGGUGUCAGCUGCGGAUUUCCAAUUUAUUGUUCAACAUGUAGGAAUAAUUGUUUUAAAGCAGGAAGAAACGUGGGCCAAUAAAGCCAUAGAAAUGGCUAGACGUCUGGCCUAAAUGACUUUAUGGUCCUGGCCAGUAAUUACACUCUCCUUUGAAACCCCCCGAAUUUUCUCUUUAGGCGUUUGUGUGUGUUGCUGACAAACAGAACCGUAGACACCUCUUUCUUUUACCUCGGGGUGUCUGCUCUGUGAAUUGUUCCAGAGGAAAUCAACCCCCAACGGCACCACCAACACCACCUUUGUAAUGGUCACGUUUAUUCACCAACUCCACUUCCCAUCGCUGGGAAGAACAAAAAAACUUAACUUUGACUUGUAUACAAGCUUUUGCUCCAGAUUUGAUGAGUUUAAAUAAAAUACAUUUUCUGACACAGGUUAGAAUUACAAUUCCUAUCAAAAAUGCUCAUCUCUGAAGCUAAUAUUGUUUAUUUAUCUUUGUCCCAAUUAAGCAGAGCUAGGUUUGAGAUUAUAUUCUGUGCAAUGCAGUGCUGCUCACUGAUGUAAAUGAGAGCACUAGAGGGCGAUGUUGUUCUUUUUAGCCUCAGUCAAAGCAGCUCUUCCCCAUGCAGACAACACAUGGACAGCACAGCUUUGUCCUCAUGGAUCCAUUUAUCUAUAUAAAGAAAAACAAGCAGAUCUUCUCCAGAAAGAGUCAAAGAUUUAUUAUCGUUCAUAUUUUUUUAAGAUGAAAGCUGCUCUUUUAGGGAGUUGACGUGGAUUUAAUUGUAAAAAAAAAAAAAUUAAAUCUACACGUCUUUGUUCCAUUGUUGUGUUAUUUUCUCCAACUGUUACUGAUGGCUUCAGGACUUUAUACUGCGGUAUUUUUCAGACAACAUGUCAGAAUUAUGGCAGUCCAUUUUCUUACCGACCUUGUAUAGAAACAUGUGCAAAUAGUUUAAAUUUAACUUGAAGAUAAAGCACAACUCUUUGAAAAUUUCAGUUGUAGUUAUUCUGUCUAUGAACGUCUGCGAAAUAAAAACAGCGUAGACCUGAAUAAUAAUAAAAACUAAAACCCUGAAUUUUGCGCUUACAAAAUUCCCUGUGCUGCCUCUGGAUUUUAUUAUGACCAACUCAAUCACGAAUUUAAAGAAAACGGCACCGAGGUUGAGCACAAAGGUAGAGCUGGAACGCAAAUGAAAAUGCAUAUAAAUAUGUGAAGUAUUUCCUGCAGCGAUUUCUUUCCAUCUACUAAUUUAAAAAGCAUUUUAAGUUAAAUCAAGGCGCAACAGAAAUAAUUAGAUUGUUAGGAUAAUGUGUCUCAUCCUACACAAACACAAUAAUUUAAACGCAUUGAAGGCCUGUAUUAGCUGUGUCUUUUUAAGGCCUCAAAUAAUAUUACGAUUUUUCACAAAUUCACUAGUGUCCUUUAUUAUUUAAUUCAUUGUUGUUGUAACCUUUCCCUGCUUCGUGUAUAGAUUAUUUGUUUUCCUUUGCUCAUGUUAUCGUCAGCGGCUCAAAGACAUAGUCAAAAAGAGAUGAUGGAAAAUAAGUAAAAAUGCCGUUAGAAAAACUGCACAGUCUGCAUUCCCAUGUUUUCAUUGACCCACAUUGAUACUGCAUUUACUGGUUUGUAAAGCGACAUGGCGAUUAUUUUAAUCCGCGUCUUUGGAGAAAACUCGACUCCAGACUGUCGACGCAUGUGCGCCACAAACAGCAUUACAUGCCGUUCACACUAAGCAGCGUUCAUAAUGCCACAGAGACAGUGUGUUCAGAUGGAGAUGCGUUCGUGCCUCUGCGUCAGUCUGUCUCCCUGCCUGCAUGUCCUUGGUCAUGUGUCUCCUUCCUUCAGUGGUCAAACUCACUGCGGGCCGUGCACCAAGUAAGGAGGACAUGGAGGGGUUUGUGCCAUUAUGCGCAAAGAUGGGGGGAAUUGCUGCUGCUGCCUUUACUGCUGCUGCUGCUGCAGUCGAAAUUCCUUUUUGUGAGCGGAGAAUUUACAACUUGAUUUGGUUUCCCACUGCAUUCUGCUGCUGUCUGUGCUGCUCCAAACCCACACGCCCUGCAGGCUCUUCACUCUUCAGCUGCAUUUAUUUCUUUAAAACAACCCCAGUUUUAUUUACUGCUUUAUUUUAAACGUCCGACCUGCGCACAUCCUGCGGCACAGACAGAUCAGCCCCGGGGUCUCCUGGAUGAGAAGAACUUGGUCGGUGUCUGACUUGGUCAUCCACAGACUCUGACCAAAGAUGUUGUGCACCACAGCCCAGGUGGACAACAUGGGAUCCCUCCUGGUCACAGGUAUGACUUCUCUAAAAGCAAUAGUGGCUCUAAUGUGUGUCUGUAAGUGUGUGCAUGUGUGCGAGUGCAUAUGAAGUUUGACAGCUUCCUGUUUCAUUAGUCAUGUAAAUGAGCGGAAGACUCGCUGCUAUUAGACUGUGGCGAAUUCACGUGUUUCUAGUUGACAUGGAAAUGAUCUGUUUUAGCAUUUGUGACGCAGACUCUCAUUAUUAUAUUAUUAUUAUUAAUGCUGUUUUAUUUCGGAUGAGUCAGUAAUGUUGUUAAAACGUCUCAUAUGUGAUAUUUUGUUACAAGAAUGAAACAUGUUUUAAUGUUUUAUUAAAUGUGUUUUAAAAAGGUCCAGACCCCGGCUCAUCCAUUAUUACGCACCGUGCGUGAUGAGGGUGUCUGGGUCUGACUGCUCUGUUCUUCUCUUUUAUGAUCUUUUCGUUUUCAACCAACGUUUCCUCUUUUGGGUUUUCGAUAUGAAUCUGCGUGUACAAGCAUUUUUCGUUUCCAUUCCUCUUCCUCUCGGUUGACACAGAACCCAAACUUGUAUGAUUUUCACGUUCCAAGACCAUCUGUGAGGCUGUGCUGAACCCCACAACAUCUGCACACACACAAACACACACAGAGACACACACACACACUGCUCA